This 301-nucleotide ribosomal RNA is filed under the name uncultured bacterium. RNAcentral's name for it is "partial 16S ribosomal RNA". It matches the Rfam family "Bacterial small subunit ribosomal RNA", at positions 509 to 807 of the family's 1533-position model. The record is from RNAcentral.
CAGUAGCCGCGGUAAUACGUAGGUGGCAAGCGUUGUCCGGAAUUAUUGGGCGUAAAGGGCUCGCAGGCGGUUUCUUAAGUCUGAUGUGAAAGCCCCCGGCUCAACCGGGGAGGGUCAUUGGAAACUGGGAAACUUGAGUGCAGAAGAGGAGAGUGGAAUUCCACGUGUAGCGGUGAAAUGCGUAGAGAUGUGGAGGAACACCAGUGGCGAAGGCGACUCUCUGGUCUGUAACUGACGCUGAGGAGCGAAAGCGUGUGGAGCGAACAGGAUUAGAUACCCCGGUAGUCCCUGUCUCUUAUAC